Molecule: ribosomal RNA, 429 nt
Filed under: uncultured bacterium
Lineage: Bacteria
Description: bacterial SSU rRNA
Rfam family: Bacterial small subunit ribosomal RNA
Source: RNAcentral
UGGGGAAUUUUGGACAAUGGGCGCAAGCCUGAUCCAGCCAUGCCGCGUGAGUGAAGAAGGCCUUCGGGUUGUAAAGCUCUUUCGGCUGGGAAGAAAUCGCAUCUCCUAAUACGGGGUGUGGAUGACGGUACCAGCAUAAGAAGCACCGGCUAACUACGUGCCAGCAGCCGCGGUAAUACGUAGGGUGCGAGCGUUAAUCGGAAUUACUGGGCGUAAAGCGUGCGCAGGCGGUUUCGUAAGACAGAGGUGAAAUCCCCGGGCUCAACCUGGGAACUGCCUUUGUGACUGCGAGGCUAGAGUAUGGCAGAGGGGGGUGGAAUUCCACGUGUAGCAGUGAAAUGCGUAGAGAUGUGGAGGAACACCGAUGGCGAAGGCAGCCCCCUGGGCCAAUACUGACGCUCAUGCACGAAAGCGUGGGGAGCAAACAGG